This 497-nucleotide ribosomal RNA is filed under the name uncultured bacterium. Its description in RNAcentral is "partial 16S ribosomal RNA". It matches the Rfam family "Bacterial small subunit ribosomal RNA", at positions 28 to 507 of the family's 1533-position model. The record is from RNAcentral.
GAUGAACGCUGGCGGCGUGCCUAAUACAUGCAAGUCGAGCGAACAGAUGAGGAGCUUGCUCCUCUGACGUUAGCGGCGGACGGGUGAGUAACACGUGGAUAACCUACCUAUAAGACUGGGAUAACUUCGGGAAACCGGAGCUAAUACCGGAUAAUAUAUUGAACCGCAUGGUUCAAUAGUGAAAGACGGUUUUGCUGUCACUUAUAGCUGGAUCCGCGCCGCAUUAGCUAGUUGGUAAGGUAACGGCUUACCAAGGCAACGAUGCGUAGCCGACCUGAGAGGGUGAUCGGCCACACUGGAACUGAGACACGGUCCAGACUCCUACGGGAGGCAGCAGUAGGGAAUCUUCCGCAAAGGGCGAAAGCCUGACGGAGCAACGCCGCGUGAGUGAUGAAGGUCUUCGGAUCGUAAAACUCUGUUAUUAGGGAAGAACAAAUGUGUAAGUAACUAUGCACGUCUUGACGGUACCUAAUCAGAAAGCCACGGCUAACUACGUG